UUGACCUCGGAUCAGGUAGGGAUACCCGCUGAACUUAAGCAUAUCAAUAAGCGGAGGAAAAGAAACCAACAGGGAUUGCCCCAGUAACGGCGAGUGAAGCGGCAAGAGCUCAAAUUUGAAAGCUGGCUCCUUCGGGGUCCGCAUUGUAAUUUGCAGAGGAUGCUUCGGGAGCGGUCCCCAUCUAAGUGCCCUGGAACGGGACGUCAUAGAGGGUGAGAAUCCCGUAUGGGAUGGGGUGUCCGCGCCCGUGUGAAGCUCCUUCGACGAGUCGAGUUGUUUGGGAAUGCAGCUCUAAAUGGGUGGUAAAUUUCAUCUAAAGCUAAAUAUUGGCCGGAGACCGAUAGCGCACAAGUAGAGUGAUCGAAAGAUGAAAAGCACUUUGAAAAGAGAGUUAAAAAGCACGUGAAAUUGUUGAAAGGGAAGCGCUUGCGACCAGACUCGCUCGCGGGGUUCAGCCGGCAUUCGUGCCGGUGUAUUUCCCCGCGGGCGGGCCAGCGUCGGUUUGGGCGGUCGGUCAAAGGCCCUCGGAAGGUAACGCCCCUAGGGGCGUCUAUAGCCGAGGGUGCAAUGCGACCUGCCUAGACCGAGGAACGCGCUUCGGCUCGGACGC
RNAcentral lists this ribosomal RNA (610 nucleotides) under Penicillium crustosum. RNAcentral's name for it is "eukaryotic LSU rRNA". It matches the Rfam family "Eukaryotic large subunit ribosomal RNA", at positions 1 to 626 of the family's 3401-position model. Lineage: Eukaryota; Fungi; Ascomycota; Eurotiomycetes; Eurotiales; Aspergillaceae. The record is from RNAcentral.